GAUGAACGCUGGCGGCGUGCCUAAUACAUGCAAGUCGAGCGAACGGACGAGAAGCUUGCUUCUCUGAUGUUAGCGGCGGACGGGUGAGUAACACGUGGAUAACCUGCCUAUAAGACUGGGAUAACUUCGGGAAACCGGAGCUAAUACCGGAUAAUAUUUUGAACCGCAUGGUUCAAAAGUGAAAGACGGUCUUGCUGUCACUUAUAGAUGGAUCCGCGCUGCAUUAGCUAGUUGGUAAGGUAACGGCUUACCAAGGCAACGAUGCAUAGCCGACCUGAGAGGGUGAUCGGCCACACUGGAACUGAGACACGGUCCAGACUCCUACGGGAGGCAGCAGUAGGGAAUCUUCCGCAAUGGGCGAAAGCCUGACGGAGCAACGCCGCGUGAGUGAUGAAGGUCUUCGGAUCGUAAAACUCUGUUAUUAGGGAAGAACAUAUGUGUAAGUAACUGUGCACAUCUUGACGGUACCUAAUCAGAAAGCCACGGCUAACUACGUGCCAGCAGCCCGCGGUAUACGUAAGUGGCAAGCGUUAUCCGGAAAUAUUGGGCGUAAAGCGCGCGUAGGCGGUUUUUUAGUCUGAUGUGAAAGCCCACGGCUCAACCGUGGAGGGUCAUUGGAAACUGGAAAACUUGAGUGCAGAAGAGGAAAGUGGAAUUCCAUGUGUAGCGGUGAAAUGCGCAGAGAUAUGGAGGAACACCAGUGGCGAAGGCGACUUUCUGGUCUGUAACUGACGCUGAUGUGCGAAAGCGUGGGGAUCAAACAGGAUUAGAUACCCUGGUAGUCCACGCCGUAAACGAUGAGUGCUAAGUGUUAGGGGGUUUCCGCCCCUUAGUGCUGCAGCUAACGCAUUAAGCACUCCGCCUGGGGAGUACGACCGCAAGUUGAAACUCAAAGGAAUUGACGGGGACCCGCACAAGCGGUGGAGCAUGUGGUUUAAUUCGAAGCAACGCGAAGAACCUUACCAAAUCUUGACAUCCUUUGACAACUCUAGAGAUAGAGCUUUCCCCUUCGGGGGACAAAGUGACAGGUGGUGCAUGGUUGUCGUCAGCUCGUGUCGUGAGAUGUUGGGUUAAGUCCCGCAACGAGCGCAACCCUUAAGCUUAGUUGCCAUCAUUAAGUUGGGCACUCUAAGUUGACUGCCGGUGACAAACCGGAGGAAGGUGGGGAUGACGUCAAAUCAUCAUGCCCCUUAUGAUUUGGGCUACACACGUGCUACAAUGGACAAUACAAAGGGCAGCGAAACCGCGAGGUCAAGCAAAUCCCAUAAAGUUGUUCUCAGUUCGGAUUGUAGUCUGCAACUCGACUACAUGAAGCUGGAAUCGCUAGUAAUCGUAGAUCAGCAUGCUACGGUGAAUACGUUCCCGGGUCU
RNAcentral lists this ribosomal RNA (1370 nucleotides) under uncultured bacterium. RNAcentral's name for it is "bacterial SSU rRNA". It matches the Rfam family "Bacterial small subunit ribosomal RNA", at positions 28 to 1381 of the family's 1533-position model. The record is from RNAcentral.